Molecule: long non-coding RNA, 9361 nt
Organism: Bombus impatiens (common eastern bumble bee)
Lineage: Eukaryota; Metazoa; Arthropoda; Insecta; Hymenoptera; Apidae
Exons: 5
Source: RefSeq, a predicted model, not a curated record
UCUCCUGAAACAGAAAUAAAACACUCCUUCUCAGUUUAAAUCCGGUUUCACCAUUGGAUUUCUAAGAUAACGCACAAUCAUAGAUUUAUGAUUAUAACUCGGAGAUGCGACUUUUCGUGAUAGAGAGGACGGAGAUACGAAGGGAGGAAGGUAUCGAUAGCGUUAGCCAGAACGAAAGAAUAAUGAAACUGGCCACUCGUAAAUCAAUGUCUCGCGUAGACUAUCGGAUUAUUGGUUUUUUCUACGUCACCGGCCUGCACUGGUGAGCUAACGUCUUUAUUAAUUACCACGCUCUUUAGCCACCAGUUGGACACUUUUUACUCUUAAGUAGGACCAUAACAUAUAAUUAUUCGAACGUAACCGUGAUUUUCCCAAGCAAUUGUGUGUAUCCAACGUCCGAUUAGAUGGUUACAUUGCGAGCUUUUAUCACGAUUGCUCUUGUUCGUGAUUUUCAUGUAUUCGUUAAUUCUAUGUGAAAUAUUUGUAGUGCAUUGAAAUAUUAUUUGAGUGGAUUAUAUGAAUUUUGGCUCUUGAGAAUUAUAAGCAGAAAAGAGAUAGCUAAAAGAACGAUGGGAAUCUUAAUUUAUAAAGUAUCAGCGAUAUCUUGAAAGAUGAUAAAUUCUAACAUCAAUUAUUCUUAACGCGUCAACAGAAGGACUGAACAUGUUUGCCAGGAUGAGGUUGAAUUUUGAGAAGCAGUAGGGGUUCCAGGAGCUGUAAUACGUAAUAAAGAUAUUACACGUCCCAUACGUGAAUGCAAAGAACAUGCCACGAGCAGAUGGCGUCGGGCACGUGUACGCGUACUCAGCUGUGCUUACAAGAACAUCGCUUGACGUUGCCAAAAUCUAUUACAUAAGGCGUCGAGCUCUACGUGCGUGCAAGAUUCUCGUGGCUUAAUGCCCUAAUAUUAAAUUGUCGUGAAAGGAUAACCGACCCUUCAAAUCUCAUCCCCCAAAGUAAGAUUUAACCAGAAAAUCGAAGAAGAAACUGUCAAACUGAAAAAUUAAUAGAUGAAGUAGAACGUUUAUCAAACGAAGCUCUCACGGAUAAGAAACAUGUACUUGAUCCCAGAAUUAAAUAGAGAUAAUUUUUUAAUUGAUUGACCGGCUAAUAGAAUUCGAAAAUUUAUUUUCUCUAAAAGAUGGAAAUGUGAUUUAUGCGCUUCGAGUGAAACGAAGCACAACGCUAACAUUUUCGGUCAAAGGCUGUAGUUGAACGAGUCUGAAGGAUGUUCGAAGUUGGGAAUUUUUAAAAUCGUUGAAAUUUUCAUGAUGGAAUUUAGUCGAGCUACUAGAGUUCGCUAAGGAAGUUAGUUAGGGCCAUUUGUACGACGUAAAGGUUUCGAUCAUGGCUGUUGGCUUUUUAAGACUUGCAUUGUUGGCGCACUUUCGAUUUGAUGGUUCUUUGCGACUACCAAUAUCGACCAAGAUCAAGAUCUUGAUCUUUUUUCUUUCUUUCUUUCUUUUAUGAGGAAUCGCCAACAGGUAUUCUGUUUAAUGUUUUUUUCUACAGUUGCACAAGUCUGAAUCUCCAGUGAUGAAAAUAGAUAGAAGCACUUUAUGAGAUAGGAAUGAGCUUACAUUCGACUGUGUACAUUGGAAGCUAAUAAAUUUUCCUUUCACUUUUCCUUUUCCGAAAUUGGUUUUUUUGUCUUCCUACCACUGAUUCGUUCGUGGCGAAAAUUUAUCGGUUUCUGUGGCGAUUGCUCUCAUAUUUUCUGGCGAUUAAAUACUUGUAGAAACUUCUAUUUUUCCACAAUGUUAUUUUUGGAACUUUGAAGUCAAUUAUUAGCUUGUAGAAUUAUUCAAACGGAACGUCAUCGGAGGAAUGUCUCGAUCAAUCUGUCAGGUGAUUUUCAGUACUGUAAUUGUUAGAUUAUUGGAGAGACAGCAAUUCCUUCGCCAAGAUCGAUCGCGAUUGAUCGCAUACUAUCGGUAUUAAUUCCUAAAGUCGCAUAACAUGCCUGUAUAUACAACAUAAGGCCAUUUACUAUUAGAUAACCGCAUGAAAUUCAUAUCACUGAUGGGAUGGUUGAUUCUGUCUACAGACGAACGCUUCUGAUACCGAAUAACAUGAUUUUAAAAUAUUUGACAGUCCUAUCAAAAUAUAUGGCUCUUCAGAUAUUAUUUCACAAUGGAAUUUAUAUUCUAUGAUUCCAUGCUAAUUUCUCUAUUAAUCUUCCUUCUUCUUUUACAAUAUGGCAUUUAUCAUAAAUAUAUAUCUGAUCCUAAUUUCUAAUUUACUAGCUGUGUGCUAAACACGGCACAAGAAGACAAUCGAUUAAAUAGCUUCAUAACCUUUUAUAGGAAAUAACGGGUUGGUCAUUAAAUUAUGUUAAUAUAUUGCAUUUGAAAAAGCGUUUUUAAUCCUCAUAGGAUUUCUGCCAAAUAAUUAAUUGCAUAAAUAGUUAAAUAAUAAUUAAUUGUAAGCCAUUCAAUUCUUCUUUGAACAUUUGCACAUAUAUCGGGUUAUUUACAAAUAAUUUAUAAUCAUAAAUUAUUAUUGCACAUCCUGUAUAGGUAUCUAGUGUAUUGAAUUAUUUAAUACUGUAAUUUAAAUUAUUUAAUUAAAACAUUAUAAACUUACCAAUUCGAACACAGCUGAUAUUAAAAAAAAUUAAGCUAAUAAUAGAAAAUUUCUAAUGCAAUUUACUUAAUUCACCGUUUUAUUCGACGAUCCCAGAAAGCUUUUCAAUCGACGAUACACGAGUAUGAGCACUACACCUAACGCUGUUGGAAAUUACGAUGACCCAGGGUCAGUAAAUCGUAGAUAAUAGUAGUAAUUGGAAAUUCCUUGGCCAAUGCAAAUAAGAGACGGUUCAGAGAUAAAGAGGGAAGAUAUAAAUCUUUGUCAACGCGAUUUGGUUCACGGUCGAUGGAACGUCCGACGUACUAGAGCCUACAGCCUGCGGUUUACACAAUUUCCUCGGCAUUCGAGUAGUCUGUUCUACUCGGCGCCUCGUGGCCAGAAGAUCACGACGGAUUCCGGACAUCAGCGGACGAUCCGUUCUCGUCCUUUGUCGAGGAUGGGUAUCAAGGAUAGUUAAUUGGCUACCCGAAUAGGGUACGGCCAAUUAAGCGUUUAAUUAGAGUGGCAGGCUAUCGAUGGAUUUUCGGUUGCUUGGCAUUAAUCGAUGAUCUCUGGUCUGACAGGGCUUCGAAUAUUCGUCGUUGAAAUUCGUUGCAGUGGGUUUAUGUUUUGUUCAAAUUUCAAAAUACUGUUCGAAAAUUACAAUCAAUCUCUCGGAUAAUCCGUUGAAUGAAUAAGAACAUUUAUAUCAAACACGUUGAGAGAAACAUAAACUGUGAAAUUGGAACACUUGUAAUAGAAUACGUUUAUGUAUAUAUCGUAUGCAUUAUAUGAAACAUUUUGAAAUUUCAUUGGCAGUGUAAUGAGACACGACUGUCGUGAUUCAGUUGGAAAAAUUUGCAAGCUGAAGAUGAAUGUAGAAGCCAUAGAAUAUUUAUUAGAAGCAUAUACCCAUUGAAUAUCUAGAAGUAUUAAUACAAUGGAUGAUACGUUUAAGUACUUGAUUAUUUAACAUAAUUUAGUAUUUCAUUGUUUGUUUAAAUACUUUUAUGACGUCUGUGAAACAUAUAUUUGCAUUAAAUAUCUGCUAGCUCCUGUGUACAUUUUUAGAUUUGUUUCAAGCUUUUCCAUAAUAGUCGAGUAGUUUAUCAUCUUAGUUUACUUACCUUAAUAUACUAUGGCAUAAUCAUGAUAGGGGAGUCUCAUUACAAUGCUAAUGAAAUUUCAAUAUGUAUCAUAUAUAUAUGAUAGACAUAACGUAAGUAUUCAAAUAUCUUCAUCAUCUACUGUGUAUUUCAUUUGAGGCUACGAGUCCCCUUUUGAUAGUAAAAACAAUAUGGUCAAAAUUGCGAGUGACUUAUGAAGUAAGACACAAAGUCACACCUAUAAGUUCUAACAUUAUUCUCUGCCCGUAGAGAUCCCGGUGCACCAAUAUGUCGUCUCUAGCCGAAAAUUCACGAGCGCUUUCGAGAUUUUUAAAUAUAUAGAUAUAUCUGUAUAUAUAUAUAUGUAUGUACUUGGUGCACAUAGGCAACAUGGCGCUAAAGUUAGUAGGAAGUUUAAUACCUAACGACUCCCUGAGCUACCGUUUAUACGGCUCCAAAUUUCAUCCCUUGCCUUUUCUUUUUCUCGUCGUCCCUCACUCGGUCCCAAGCUCGUCUUCCUGCGAUAUUAUUAAAUUUUCUGGGGGAAUUGAAGCAAGAGAAUCCAUUCUUGUCCUUGUGUUAUUGAAAAAGAGCGUACAACAUGGUUGACUGCACGAAGGGCGGCUGCAAAAUCGUUUCAAAUUUUCGAUUCGGCUGAAAGAUUCUAUUCGAUCUAUCAACAUUUCUAUAUGUUGGAAAUGUCGAAAUUACCGCGAAUCGAGGAAACGAAUUUAAUUCCCCGGUUGGGCGAAAUAUCUGAACGCGGCAAUUAACGUGCUCGAGAUUUUUUCAUGACUGCCGUAAAUGAAAUACUAUCCUUUUGUGAUUCCAUUCGCGAUUAAAAACGGUACAGUCAAACGAAGCAAGCGCUUUUCGAACGAUACGUGGCGAAAAAAUAUUACGCCACAACCACAGCUGGUUUCUGUAUACUUCUUCGCUCAUACAUACCAUCAUGAAGAUGUACGUGAAUGUUCGAAUAUCGAUCGGUUUAAUGACUGCCGAAACAUUUCCAAAGUACGACGAGUAGCACUCGAAGAAGGAUCGACUUUUGAAACGCGUAGGAUACAGGACAAUUUUCAAGAGUUCCUUCAGGAAAGUUAGGCCAGUUGGAGAGGCACUUUUGCAACUUUUCGUGCUUAUAGAUCAUUCCAUGGUAGUCGUAACGUUAACUUCUCUUUUUCUCUCCCUCUCUCUCUCUUUCUCUUUUUCUGUCUCCAUGACAACAGAUAGACUUUCACAUUAACGAAUCGAUUUCGUCGAGUAAAAGUUGAAGCUACAAUUGGCUCUUAGAGCCACUCAGACAUGCAACACCGACAAACCGUGAUGAUUGAGAGAAAAAAGUUUCGAUUUCGUCAGGAAAAAGAAUAUUACCGACGAUUGUUGCAUCCAGUGUUAUUAUCGUUUGAAAAAGAAUGGUAAUUAAUAUCGUUGAUAUACGUCGAUAACGAAACGAUGAAACGACACGGUUUAGCUUGGUGUACAUCCGGCAAAACAAUGAGUAAAAUCGCGGACCAAUUAACGGUGUAAUGGUUGCACGAUAAUUUGCAACGAUAAAGCUUUCCUCUCUCUCUGGGGAUCGUUCGAACACCACAAAUUGCUCCAGCUGGCCUUAAUAAUUUUCUUUAAUCACUGCAUUCUAUAUUUAAUUCGUAGCGUCUGAUAGAUACGUCCCGGUGAUCUACAGUUCUUUGGUAAGCUCAGUAGGCUAGCUUAGCGGAGCACUUAUGGCUGAUUUAUACGAACCAUUACCACUAGCAGUGACCCAAUAAGGUUAUCCGCCAACCUCGGUGAAUCAGAUCAGUGGCGCUCUUAAAGGUUGAUUCACAAGGCCCACCGUUAGCCUUAAACCGUCCUCGAUUGUGAAUCUUAUUAAGGUCGAUGAUGAUACUCUUGUACUUGGUGACUUGGAGAUCAAUAGCGGGCUACUACAGUGUUAUUAUUCCUGCUAUUGAAUACGAAUAUGAUUGUCUAUGAAUAUUUUGAUUGCGUUUAAUAAUAUGGGCAGUUUUAUUGUUCUAUCUCCGGAUAAGACGAAGAGGUUUGCUUACUACGAGACAAUUUCAGUGGCAGGUAAAAAUGUGACUGAGUAUAGUAGGAAUGAUUUUGAAAUAUGAAGUGCAGAAAGAAGGCUACUCGACUCGAAGACGAACUGAGAAACAUAACUCAACGACUAUAGAUACGCAUCUUCCACAUAUUUUAACAAACGUUCUAUUGUAUUUUGUAACUUUUUUCACUUUAGACCGCUUGAAGCAAGGAAAGCACUUAACUCCGAGCAAAUUAAACUCAAGAAUAGAAUUGGAUAAUUGUAUUCAGAAAUUGUAUCGGUUAACUCGAUAGUAUUAGCAUAAUAUUAGUAAUUAUGAUUGUGCGCUAUUGCGCUAUUGUAUUCUUAAACAUUCGAAACUCGUUCUAUGCGUCUCUUUCAUAUGCACUUUGGCCGCUUUAAAUACUAAUCUAAGAAGAAAGAAGUUUCCCAUUUGCCAUUACGACAGCAAGAACGGGAAUUCUUAGACGACACGUCGUUAAAGCGUGGGCGUAGCUUUUAACUACAGUUUCCGUGUUAUUAGCGCCGGCUAGUCGUUAGCCAAAUUUUUCCUGGGCAAACUAUUCAACUCGUAAUCCGAACACAACAGUGCUAAAAGCUCAUCGUCGUCCUUAAUAGUGCGCUCUGAAUACGAGCCAAAUAUUAAAAUCUCUUCUCGCGGAAGGCAAAACUUCAAAGACGCGGCGGAGCGGUUCAGAACGAAGAUUCCAGAAGAUUAGCCGGGAAGAAACGCGGAAAUUCGGUGGCUCCUAGACAUCGAAAAUCCGCUGCAAAACAAGGAUAGAGGCGAGAUAGUUCGAGUGAAAGGUACUGAAAAGGUGGAAUAAGUCGUCGAAUUGGAAGAUAACGAAAGGAAGGGGGACAGGGGAAGAAACUGAGCAGAACUGAAAGUGGAAAGACGGUGAAAACUUUAGGUUGAAACGGUUAGAGUGCCCUUCGGAGCGAGACGGUAUGAAGAUAUCGAGGAUAGGGUCUCGAGACGAGUGGCAGAGUGAGAGGACUCACGGUGAUGUGCAAUUAGGAAAAUUGAAUUCCGCCGUAAUUAACUUUCUUAAUUAAUAGAAUCGCGGGAUUGUAUCUUUAAUCUGGCCGUUGGAAGUGCUUCUGGCAGCUUCUGUCACCGAACGGGAGAGAAUGUGGCUUGGCUCCGACUCGGGAUGAAACCAGGAACAGAUGAAGACGACUGUAAAGGACGAGGAUAGAGAAAACGAUAGAACGACCGGGAUGCAAGAUUGACGAACGUGCAGAGAACGUGGAAGAACAGGGAGAAGAAAGGGAUAAGACAGGAUUGUUGCAAGACGCAGAAGCGGUGGCGACGAUUGCGAGCUACUCUGGGAUGGGUAGUCGCUGUAAGUUUUGAUAUAUGCGCCAGGUUAUUUACGAUCGCAUAAGAAUUAGCCCAGACAGUAAGCCGGUCUUUCUCUAGCAAAAAGCUGACUUUGUGCCGCGGACUGGCACUGUAGUCCACCGGUUUUUGCUCGUUCGCUUUCGGAAAAGUCGUUAAAUCUCGCGCCGCAUUCGACGAAUCAGCCAAAUGACGUUUCUUGCGUCCUGUGGUUGUAUCGAUGGAAGUUCGGACGGCGAUAAUUCCACUCGCGUGUCUCAACUUCUUCGAUACGGUGCGAUGGUGUCAUUCAAAUCUGUAGGAUAUUUCGACGAAGCUAAACAAUGCAACGAGUUAAUUGAUGCUCGAAAGUGUAGUUGUUCGUAUAGUAUCAUUUCGCUAUAUCUGUUCAGUUAUACGUUGAAACAAUAGCCCUGUCAUGGAAUUAUUCAACUCAUCCUCUCGUUUUUUGAUAUCUUCUCUGACUGAUCUUAUGGUACACAAUAUUUUCUCAUUCUUUCGUCAUUAUAUUAACGACUUUAUCCGCCUCAUAAUAUACAACAAACUUGAGUAUUCUAUACGAAAUUGAAGUAUAAAUUUGAACAUGCCGAAGCUCGGAUGAUUCAAAUAACCCCAUCUUCCGUAGAACAAACCGGGCAAGUGGCGAUAGAUUCGCGAGACCAACUGUUUGCAUUGGUUCGUGGAUACUAUUUGAAAAUUCGUCGGAUCCCCGGGCGAGAUUGUCACAACGAAUUAUGCUGGUCGCAUGAAAAAUUAACGGGGAUCGUUUUCGACGAUCGACGUACGUUAGAAAGCCAAGCGGAAAGUCAUUUUUCUCUUCGUUCUUUUAACGGCCACUGGCAGAUUAAUUAAUCACGCCGUGCCGAUUUCGUUCGACCACGCGGCUCGAUUAAUAAAAUCGAACCCCGACUCUCGUCCCUUGUUUAAGUUAACUUGCUCGCCGUGCAGUUAAUUACGCCGAUCGAUGAGCGCCGUAUAUUUUUGACGUUCAUGGAAUACGAGGACACACCGUGUGUACUCGUAAAACUGGUUUUGACGAGCGCCUUUAAUCCCGGCCAACGAAUGGAAACGACUCUGAAUUCACGAUGAAACGCGUAAAUUCGUAAUCUGCAAAAUGUACAACAACUCGCCGAACUUCUGAUUUAUGAUCCUGGACAACGCUUUCACAGGAUUUUCCACGUUAUGCCGUGUUAUCUGACACAUCUAAAAUAUUAUGAGGAAAGUUGUACAUGCGUACAUUGUAUUUUUCGACCGAUGUGCAGCAAUUAAGAGAAUCUCUACUGUUGUUAUUCGACCGCUUACGCAGCAGUGAAACCUUGUCAGUCUGUCAUCAAACUUAUCGGAGUACGAACGUGGCGCCAUGAAGAAUAAUAAAGCGACUCAUUGGUGUUCCGAUUGGAAUCUCACAAGGAAUUGUGCUUCGUGUUGUUUCAAAGGAAUAUCGAUGGAUUGGUCGAUGGAUUUCUUGGAAACAUUGGAAUACCAAGCCUAGAUGAUGGAAAACGAGCAUUUGCCAUUACUGAGCAGCGUUAGUUAAAUGAAGGUGGAAUGGAGAAACUUAUGGAGUGGGGUUAAGAGAUACAGCGUUCGUCGACGCCAUGUGUCUUUGACUCUUUGACGAGUCAAUGUCAACACGACGACGAGUGGACUUCUCGUGCUAUGCUUCGGCGUGGAAUCUCGUGUAGAGUGUAGAGGCACAUGACGACAACUUCUGAUGGAAUUCGUGAACUGGAUACGAAGCGGACUGCUUCAAAGAACCUGAAUCGGAAAUAUCCGACUGGAUGAUAGAGAGGAACGUCGUUUGUCACGACAAAAUACCCUUUCUGGAAGUUGCCGAGGAAAACAAUUAGAUGACCUAUCGCAUGAUUCUAUCGACAUCCUUCAAGCAGCAACCUGCCAGAUGGAAGUAAAGUAUGAAGCCAGAUGGCGUCGACGUUUUGCCAGACACACAUCGCGUUCCAGAAUUUAAUUGAACGUCGUCAGGAAAAUUACUUAUAGCUAGUUGGAUCUCGACACCGUCUGGGGACAUCGGUGGAUCAAUUUUUGAAGCGCGCCAUGAAACCGACGGGGAGGGUCGCUACUAAGAACAAUGACGAUGCUGAUGCGAGACAUUCAGUCGUAAAUUAUCCCUGCAAGGUAUUAUUAAUUAAUAGCCUUGUUAAGUCGCGUCGCGCCGUGCCAAGAGGUGCCACAAAUUGGACACCCCAAUAAGGGACUGUAUCUACUGACAUUUUCUAUAUUAUUUAAUUCCUUUAAAAAAUUAUAAGAAAACAGUAAAAUAAGACCUUGGACGUAGAA